Molecule: long non-coding RNA, 242 nt
Filed under: Elaeis guineensis (African oil palm)
Lineage: Eukaryota; Viridiplantae; Streptophyta; Magnoliopsida; Arecales; Arecaceae
Description: long non-coding RNA (EGUI_LNC057393)
Source: RNAcentral
CCACAUUGUUGAUACCCUACCACAGGCUAGAAAUAUGGUUGUGGUAGUCCACAGGACUAACCACGGUUGAUGCCUUGCCAUGGGCUGAAAAUAUGGUUGUGGUAGUUUGGAGUUGAGCACCUGUGGUCCCCUAGACUAGCCAUUGUUAGUGACUUGCCAUGGGCUAUAAACGUGGUUGUGGUAGCUGGGGUUUGAGCAUUUGUGGUCCUCUAGGGUAGCCAUAGUAUUAGUAACUUGCCAUG